This is a long non-coding RNA of Ochotona princeps (American pika), 332 nucleotides long. RefSeq lists it as uncharacterized. The transcript has 3 exons. Lineage: Eukaryota; Metazoa; Chordata; Mammalia; Lagomorpha; Ochotonidae. The record is from RefSeq and is a predicted model, not a curated record.
GUAAGCCCAAACACUGGCUUGAGGUCAGCCUGGGCUGGGAAUGACAAGGUACAUGCCCUGUAGUACCCUCCGUCACACUCCAGUCAUGACCUCUGCAACAGGGGGUGAUAAAUCCCCAAAGGAAUGGAAAGGCAAUGAGGUGACCAAGAAAAGAGGAUGUGGGCCAUAGCAGCCAGGUUAAACCAGAUGGAAGCCAGGGACCAGGAACUGGGAACUUCAUCUGCAUCUCUCACGUGGAUGACAGCGAUUCAGUUCUGCUGCCUUCUCGGGUACAUUUGUAGAAAGCUGGAUAGAAAAUUGUGGAGAAAACAAUGAGUAUGUCCAGUGGCAUU